RNAcentral lists this long non-coding RNA (478 nucleotides) under Mus pahari (shrew mouse). Its description in RNAcentral is "lncRNA (MGP_PahariEiJ_G0005626.1)". The record is from RNAcentral. Lineage: Eukaryota; Metazoa; Chordata; Mammalia; Rodentia; Muridae.
GGGAGACACUCGUGACUACAGAGACAGCGUCACCCUGUUCCCCGUCUUCUCAUGUGCAGAGGGAAGAUGAGCACAGAUCUUUAUGCGGCAAGUUUGCUUAGGAUGCAGGGGGAGGCACUGCUCCUGGGCCCAUCCAGAGAGCUCUAGAUGCCAGACACAGGAGCCAGAAAGCUUUGCUGAUGAGGUUGGUGACACACCUUGUGACGUACGCACAUGUAGACAGACACUCAGCACCCGGUGCCCACACGAUGCUACCCCUCUUCAAGCAUCUAGCAAAUACUCUCCAGGAUUAUAUCUACAUAGUGUGAAGAAAGACCUUUAUCUUCCACUUUGCCCCCACCCACACCACAAGAUAACCAGCCACUGCAGGAGCUCCCCUCCCCCACCAGCUGACUGGCUGGCCCACCACCCGGGCCCAUCUGCUCUGCAUGUGUAAGCAUUGUCAAAUUGUUUGAAUAAAUUGUCACUCUGAUUAAAA